Molecule: long non-coding RNA, 3337 nt
Filed under: Homo sapiens (human)
Lineage: Eukaryota; Metazoa; Chordata; Mammalia; Primates; Hominidae
Description: non-protein coding LINC00886:3
Source: RNAcentral
GUGCCUGCAGCCCGCCGGCCCCGCCCCCGCUGCCUGCUUCCGCCGCUUUAGUGCACGCUCGGGCUUCCUGGUGCGCCCGGAGCCUGCCUCGCGUGCCGACCCCGCCGCGUAAUCCGGCGAGGCAUCCCAGAUUCCGCCCGGCUCCAGACGCCCUCCACCGACUUUAGUUCGAGCAGACUCAUUUGGAAGCAGUGCAUUUUUAUCAGAGGGACUGAAAAGCCUUUCGAGAAUCAGUCAAGAAAAAGGAAUGCGCAUGAGAGUCAUGGUCACAUCAUGUGAUUGUAGGGAAAGCCUAGGCUAUCAUGGAGGGAAGAGAUUGGAUAAAUUAUUUGAAAAGCAAGCCUGUGAAUUGCUGUGGAGGAACAAUAGCCUGUCUCUUAUCUGGAGCCUUUCCAAGGAAAAGCAAAGGGGACCCUAGAAGGCUUCCUGGGAGACAGUUUAAUUCUGAAAACAAAGCAGUACUUCACCUCUUGUGUGUUGGGUAGAGCUGUAAAACAGAACACAGUCAAAAUAGUCAUUAGGGCCACAUCAAUGUCUGCCCAAAGUCAGGCGAGCAUUCCCAGGAAGGUGGGGGGCUGUGGCAGUUGCACACAUCAACCUCCUUUCUCCAUUGUCACACAGCAGAAGAGCGUGUUCCAUUCUACUAAAGUUGGGGCGGGGGGAGUUGAAUAAUUUAUUGACUGAAAACUGGGGGCCUGAGUUAGAUGGUAAAAAAGUUUAGAGUGCUGUUUUUUGUUUUUUAAGUUAUGUUUGUUUUAUAUAUUGAAGUGCUUAAAAUGUAUUUUAAAAAUUCAAAACAUCCCAGAAAUUCAGCAACUUGAGGAGACAAUAGUGACGAACAUUUUAUGGCAACAUUUGGACACUUUAAAGAUUAUUUCAGGAACUUUAAUGCUGAUAAAUGAGAGAAGGGACAACUUUUCCUAACUAUAACAUUUCGGCACCUGAGUACAGGGAUCAAAACAAGAGCAAGCAUUUCAAAUUCAUAUUGUGAAGCACCUACAAAAAGAUUAUUCUGUUAGCCUUCAUAAUGUGGAGAGUUCAUCUUUUCAUCUUAUCAAAUAAAAAUAUACCCAAAUUCUUGAACAGGCAUUCAGUUAGGAAAAGAGGGUGGGGUGAUGAAAUGUGUUCUCAUUCAGCAAACACUUUGCAGAUAUUUCUAGUCAAAGAUCCCUGUGGUCUAGGCUAGUGAGAGAAAAACGUGCCCUCUGCCCAGUGACAGCGGCUGCACGGGGAUCAGCUUUCACCAAUGCAGGCAGGGGAACAAAGGGCAGGCUUCAUCUGCCUGCAUCCCACAGGCCCUUGCGCAGGGGAGUUCCAUUUCAGUGCCCAUCACAUGACCUCUCAGGCCAAAACGGUUUUUAAUAAUUCUGAUUUUGAAUAUCAAAUGGAAGUGAAAAGUACAUUUAGGAAGGAAGGGCUCUAUCCUUAUUGAAGAACAUGCUCUAUGCAAACAGGUUGGACAGGCACUAGCUCUUGUAGAGCUAUGGUUCUCAGCUUUGGCAACACACUGGAUCACCUCCUCUAAAAGGUACUGAUGCCUGCUUUCCUCCCUCUUCUGCCCCUAAAGAAAGUAGAAUUUAAUUUUAAGCUCUAGGGUGUGGCCUGGGCAUCAGGACUUUUUUUUUUUUUUUGACAGAGUCUCACUGUGUCACCUAGGCUAGAGUGCAGUGUGCAGUCUUGGCUCACUGCAGCCUCAAUCUCCCAGAUUCAAGAGAUCCUCCUGCCUCAGCCCCCUAAGUAACUAGGAUUACAGGCACGCACCACCACACCAGGCUAAUUUUUGUAUUUUUUGUGGAGACGGUCUUUCACUGUGUUGCCCAAGCUGGUCUUGAACUCCUGAGCUCAGGUGAUCCACCUGCCUCAGCCUCCCAAAGUGCUGGGAUUACAGGCAUAAGCCACAGCCCCUGGCCGGCAUCAGGAUUUUUAAAAGCUCCCAAGUGCAGUCAAGGUUGAGAACAGCUGCUAUAGUGUGACUUAAUACAGCAUUCAAAGCCUCUCAUAAUCUAGCCUCAGCCUAAUUUUUCCUUCCAGCACCCCAUCUCAGCCUGUACAUAAGCCACAGAGACAUUCUCACUGUUCUCUGAAUGUACUUGGCUCAUUCAUAUUUCCAGGCUUUCUUGCACACACAUUGUCUGACUCUGGGCACCUAAGGAAAGCUCAGCUCCAAUGUCCUCUCCUCUUCCGUGAAACCUUUCCUGUCAAGCCCACCUUCACUACUAAGUCACUCCUUGCUCCUAGAUCAGAUGGAAGAAUGCUUUGGCAUAUCUCUACUGGAGCCCUUCUCACUUUACAUUAAAGAUAACUGUAUAUAGGUUAGCCCACUCCUCCUCCCUAAUAGCAUGUGGACCCUUUGUAGUUUCAGCAGUAAGCACAGGGCUUGGUUUCUAUGAAUACUUAUUGAGUGAAUGGAUGAAUGAAUGCCAAUCUUGUACAUUGUUGAUGUUCACCACAUUGAACCCAGUUCUCAAACCAGGAUCACUUGGGAGAUUCUGAGUCAAUAAUUUGAAGGUCUGUAUCAUUCCUACUCAAAGUGUGGUCCAUAAGCCAGCAGUGGCUAUAUUAUCUGGGAGCUUGUUGCAAAUGCAGAAUAUGUAUUUUAACAAGAUCCCCAGGCAAUUCAUAUGCACAUUACACUUUGAGCUAUAUUUUUAACAAGCUCCCAGGUGAUUCCUUUGUAGCCCGGCUGCUGACCUGCAUUUCGUAACCACUGUUCUAGACCUUCAUUUGCUGAAUGGAGUGGUCCCUGUGUGAUUGCCUACAGGUUUCUUCUAGUCUCCCAUUUUUCUUCCUAGUUAACAAAGCCCAAAUUUUGUUUGGAAGGGUGAUCAGCCCUUCACCCAUCAGGCCUUUGCCUCAGGGAAGCUUGACCCCACCUUUAGACCCCAUGUUGGGCCUGAGUAGUCCAAAGGCAUAUCCCAUUCCCCUGGCCAGGGAUUAGUUUAGGGAUAGACAUGUGACCAAAUUCAGCUCAAUAAAAUGUGAGUCUGCAGGGGCAAUCUAGAAAAAGUGUCCUCUUCCCUAAGAGAAAGCCACAGGAGGGUAAAAAAAUGUCUCAGAACAUUGUCCUGCCUAAACAUGAUGCCUCGGACAUUCUGCUUCUGUCUUGCUACCUGCAGCACAAGGAAAUCCAACACUGAGGGGUCACAGCAGAGGGACGGAAAGCACCUGGAUCUUACAACAUUGUUGAGCUCUUUUGUCUCUUGACUUCUAGUUAUGAGAUGUAAUUUUCUUACUGUUAAAGUCAUUUCUGUUCCUUGCAACCAAAAGCAUUCAUUGAUACACUGAAUAUAGUACAAUAUUUAUUCAAUCAAUAAAUGCCUGGCAAAUUACCCAAGUA